Molecule: ribosomal RNA, 347 nt
Filed under: uncultured bacterium
Lineage: Bacteria
Description: partial 16S ribosomal RNA
Rfam family: Bacterial small subunit ribosomal RNA
Source: RNAcentral
CCUACGGGUGGCAGCAGUCGAGAAUCAUUCACAAUGGGCGAAACCCUGAUGGUGCGACGCCGCGUGAGGGAAUAAAGGUCUUCGGAUGGUAACCCCCUUUCAUGUGGGCGCAAAUUGUAAAGAUAGUACCACAAUAGGCAGCGACUGCUAACUCUGUGCCAGCAGCCGCGGUAAUACAGAGGUCGCAAGCGUUGUUCGGAAUUACUGGGUGUAAAGGGUGCGUAGGCUGUUUCGUAAGUCGGAUGUGAACGGCGCGGGCUCAACCCGCGGCCGGCACAUGAUACUGCGAGACUAGAGUAAUGGAGGGGGAACCGGAAUUCUCGGUGUAGCAGUGAAAUGCGUAGAUA